This 253-nucleotide ribosomal RNA is filed under the name uncultured bacterium. RNAcentral describes it as "partial 16S ribosomal RNA". It matches the Rfam family "Bacterial small subunit ribosomal RNA", at positions 524 to 776 of the family's 1533-position model. The record is from RNAcentral.
UACGUAGGGGGCAAGCGUUGUCCGGAAUCAUUGGGCGUAAGGAGCGUGUAGGCGGCCAGAUAAGUCCGCUGUGAAAUCUCGAGGCUCAACUUCGAGCUGUCGGUGGAAACUGUCUGGCUAGAGUCCGGAAGAGGAGAAUGGAAUUCCUGGUGUAGCGGUGAAAUGCGCAGAUAUCGGAAGGAACACCAGUGGCGAAAGCGGCUUCCUGGUCCAGCAUCGACGUUCAGGCACGAAAGCGUGGGGAGCAAACAGG